This 430-nucleotide ribosomal RNA is filed under the name uncultured bacterium. RNAcentral describes it as "bacterial SSU rRNA". It matches the Rfam family "Bacterial small subunit ribosomal RNA", at positions 30 to 461 of the family's 1533-position model. The record is from RNAcentral.
AUUGAACGCUGGCGGCAUGCCUUACACAUGCAAGUCGAACGGCAGCGCGGGGCAACCUGGCGGCGAGUGGCGAACGGGUGAGUAAUAUAUCGGAACAUACCCUAGAGUGGGGGAUAACGUAGCGAAAGUUACGCUAAUACCGCAUACGCACUAAGGUGGAAAGUGGGGGAUUCGCAAGAACCUCAUGCUCAUGGAGUGGCCGAUAUCUGAUUAGCUAGUUGGUGAGGUAAAGGCUCACCAAGGCGACGAUCAGUAGCUGGUUUGAGAGAACGACCAGCCACACUGGAACUGAGACACGGUCCAGACUCCUACGGGAGGCAGCAGUGGGGAAUUUUGGACAAUGGGGGCAACCCUGAUCCAGCAAUGCCGCGUGAGUGAAGAAGGCCUCGGUUGUAAGACGUCUUUGUCUAGGGAAGAAACGGUAGAGUUC